RNAcentral lists this ribosomal RNA (425 nucleotides) under uncultured bacterium. RNAcentral's name for it is "partial 16S ribosomal RNA". It matches the Rfam family "Bacterial small subunit ribosomal RNA", at positions 354 to 796 of the family's 1533-position model. The record is from RNAcentral.
GUGGGGAAUCUUGCGCAAUGGGCGAAAGCCUGACGCAGCCAUGCCGCGUGAAUGAUGAAGGUCUUAGGAUUGUAAAAUUCUUUCACCGGGGACGAUAAUGACGGUACCCGGAGAAGAAGCCCCGGCUAACUUCGUGCCAGCAGCCGCGGUAAUACGAAGGGGGCUAGCGUUGCUCGGAAUUACUGGGCGUAAAGGGCGCGUAGGCGGACAGUUUAGUCAGAGGUGAAAGCCCAGGGCUCAACCUUGGCAUUGCCUUUGAUACUGGCUGUCUUGAGUACGGGAGAGGUGAGUGGAACUCCGAGUGUAGAGGUGAAAUUCGUAGAUAUUCGGAAGAACACCAGUGGCGAAGGCGACUCACUGGCCCGUUACUGACGCUGAGGCGCGAAAGCGUGGGGAGCAAACAGGAUUAGAUACCCCUGUAGUCC